UACAGAGGGUGCGAGCGUUGUUCGGAAUUACUGGGCGUAAAGGGCGCGUAGGCGGCCUGUUAAGUCGAACGUGAAAUCCCCGGGCUCAACCCGGGAACUGCGUCCGAUACUGGCAGGCUUGAAUUCGGGAGAGGGAUGCGGAAUUCCAGGUGUAGCGGUGAAAUGCGUAGAUAUCUGGAGGAACACCGGUGGCGAAGGCGGCAUCCUGGACCGAGAUUGACGCUGAUUCGCGAAAGCCAGGGGAGCAAACGGG
Molecule: ribosomal RNA, 253 nt
Filed under: uncultured bacterium
Lineage: Bacteria
Description: partial 16S ribosomal RNA
Rfam family: Bacterial small subunit ribosomal RNA
Source: RNAcentral